This 903-nucleotide ribosomal RNA is filed under the name Escherichia coli. RNAcentral's name for it is "bacterial SSU rRNA". It matches the Rfam family "Bacterial small subunit ribosomal RNA", at positions 642 to 1533 of the family's 1533-position model. Lineage: Bacteria; Pseudomonadati; Pseudomonadota; Gammaproteobacteria; Enterobacterales; Enterobacteriaceae. The record is from RNAcentral.
UUGAGUCUCGUAGAGGGGGGUAGAAUUCCAGGUGUAGCGGUGAAAUGCGUAGAGAUCUGGAGGAAUACCGGUGGCGAAGGCGGCCCCCUGGACGAAGACUGACGCUCAGGUGCGAAAGCGUGGGGAGCAAACAGGAUUAGAUACCCUGGUAGUCCACGCCGUAAACGAUGUCGACUUGGAGGUUGUGCCCUUGAGGCGUGGCUUCCGGAGCUAACGCGUUAAGUCGACCGCCUGGGGAGUACGGCCGCAAGGUUAAAACUCAAAUGAAUUGACGGGGGCCCGCACAAGCGGUGGAGCAUGUGGUUUAAUUCGAUGCAACGCGAAGAACCUUACCUGGUCUUGACAUCCACGGAAGUUUUCAGAGAUGAGAAUGUGCCUUCGGGAACCGUGAGACAGGUGCUGCAUGGCUGUCGUCAGCUCGUGUUGUGAAAUGUUGGGUUAAGUCCCGCAACGAGCGCAACCCUUAUCCUUUGUUGCCAGCGGUCCGGCCGGGAACUCAAAGGAGACUGCCAGUGAUAAACUGGAGGAAGGUGGGGAUGACGUCAAGUCAUCAUGGCCCUUACGACCAGGGCUACACACGUGCUACAAUGGCGCAUACAAAGAGAAGCGAUCUCGCGAGAGCAAGCGGACCUCAUAAAGUGCGUCGUAGUCCGGAUUGGAGUCUGCAACUCGACUCCAUGAAGUCGGAAUCGCUAGUAAUCGUGGAUCAGAAUGCCACGGUGAAUACGUUCCCGGGCCUUGUACACACCGCCCGUCACACCAUGGGAGUGGGUUGCAAAAGAAGUAGGUAGCUUAACCUUCGGGAGGGCGCUUACCACUUUGUGAUUCAUGACUGGGGUGAAGUCGUAACAAGGUAACCGUAGGGGAACCUGCGGUUGGAUCACCUCCUUACCUUAAAGAAGC